GCUUGUCUCAAAGAUUAAGCCAUGCAUGCCUUAGAAUAAGCUUUCUACAGCAAAUCUGCGAAUGGCUCAUUAAAACAGUUAUAGUUUCAUGAGUAACUGGUUUUACAUGGAUACCUGUGGUAAUUCUACAGCUAAUACAUGCGUACUGACCCAACUCAGUGGAAGGGUCAUGCUUAUUAGUUCCAGAACCAACCCUGGUACUGCCAGGUGGUCUGGUGAUUCAUAACAAGUGGGUGGAUCAUUUGGCAAUUGCCUGUGAUGUAUCUUCUAAGUUUCUGACCUAUCAGCUUCCGACGGUGCGGUAUUGGCCCCCCGUGGCAAUGACGGGUAACGGAGAAUUAGGGUUUCAUUCCGGAGAGGGAGCCUGAGGAAUGGCUACCACAUCUAAGGAAGGCAGCAGG
Molecule: ribosomal RNA, 401 nt
Filed under: uncultured fungus
Lineage: Eukaryota; Fungi
Description: partial small subunit ribosomal RNA
Rfam family: Eukaryotic small subunit ribosomal RNA
Source: RNAcentral